CCUACGGGUGGCAGCAGUGGGGAAUAUUGGACAAUGGGCGAAAGCCUGAUCCAGCCAUGCCGCGUGUGUGAAGAAGGCCUUCGGGUUGUAAAGCACUUUCAGUGGGGAAGAAAGCCUUGGGGCUAAUACCCUCGAGGAAGGACAUCACCCACAGAAGAAGCACCGGCUAACUCCGUGCCAACAGCCGCGGUAAUACGGAGGGUGCGAGCGUUAAUCGGAAUUACUGGGCGUAAAGCGCGCGUAGGCGGUCUGAUAAGCCGGUUGUGAAAGCCCCGGGCUCAACCUGGGAACGGCAUCCGGAACUGUCAGGCUAGAGUGCAGGAGAGGAAGGUAGAAUUCCCGGUGUAGCGGUGAAAUGCGUAGAGAUCGGGAGGAAUACCAGUGGCGAAGGCGGCCUUCUGGACUGACACUGACGCUGAGGUGCGAAAGCGUGGGUAGCAAACAGGAUUAGAUACCCUAGUAGUC
Molecule: ribosomal RNA, 465 nt
Filed under: Vreelandella stevensii
Lineage: Bacteria; Pseudomonadati; Pseudomonadota; Gammaproteobacteria; Oceanospirillales; Halomonadaceae
Description: partial 16S ribosomal RNA
Rfam family: Bacterial small subunit ribosomal RNA
Source: RNAcentral